UUGAAAUAAAACUGACCUAAGACAGCAGGGGAGCGUGCUCAUAAUAAUCCUGCCGAGGCACAAAACGUCAUUAAAAAGAACGUAUUGUACUUUCGUGUCUAGGUUUGGAUGCGUUUUUUUAUUGA
RNAcentral lists this small RNA (125 nucleotides) under uncultured Streptococcus sp. RNAcentral's name for it is "Ribosomal protein L10 leader". It matches the Rfam family "Ribosomal protein L10 leader". From Rfam's summary of the family: This family is a putative r-protein leader autoregulatory structure found in B. subtilis and other low-GC Gram-positive bacteria. It is located in the 5' untranslated regions of mRNAs encoding ribosomal proteins L10 and L12 (rplJ-rplL). A Rho-independent transcription terminator structure that is probably involved in regulation is included at the 3' end. The record is from RNAcentral. Lineage: Bacteria; Bacillati; Bacillota; Bacilli; Lactobacillales; Streptococcaceae.